This 253-nucleotide ribosomal RNA is filed under the name uncultured bacterium. Its description in RNAcentral is "partial 16S ribosomal RNA". It matches the Rfam family "Bacterial small subunit ribosomal RNA", at positions 524 to 776 of the family's 1533-position model. The record is from RNAcentral.
UACGUAGGGGGCAAGCGUUGUCCGGAAUCAUUGGGCGUAAAGCGCGUGUAGGCGGCCCAGUAAGUCCGCUGUGAAAGCCCAGGGCUCAACCCUGGGAUGCCGGUGGAUACUGUUGGGCUCGAGUCCGGAAGAGGCGAGUGGAAUUCCCGGUGUAGCGGUGAAAUGCGCAGAUAUCGGGAGGAACACCAAUGGCGAAGGCAGCUCGCUGGGACGUGACUGACGCUGAGACGCGAAAGCGUGGGGAGCAAACAGG